Molecule: ribosomal RNA, 825 nt
Filed under: uncultured bacterium
Lineage: Bacteria
Description: bacterial SSU rRNA
Rfam family: Bacterial small subunit ribosomal RNA
Source: RNAcentral
UGCAUGCAAGUCGCACGCACCGUUCGCGGUGAGUGGCGCACGGCUGAGGAACACGUAGGAAUCUGCCCUGGGGUGGGGGAUAACGCGGAGAAAUCCGCGCUAAUCCCGCAUACGCUUCGCAAGAAGGAAAGCGGCAACGCGCCCGAGGAGGAGCCUGCAGCCCAUCAGGUCGUUGGUGGGGUAACGGCCUACCAAGCCAAUGACGGGUAGCUGGUCUGAGAGGACAGACAGCCAGACUGGGACUGAGAACGGCCCAGACUCCUACGGGAGGCAGCAGCAAGGAAUUUUAGUCAAUGGGCGCAAGCCUGAACGAGCAACGCCGCGUGCGGGAUGACGGCCUUCGGGUUGUAAACCGCUUUUGUGGGGGACGAUGAUGACGGUACCCUGCGAACAAGCCCCGGCUAACUCUGUGCCAGCAGCCGCGGUAAUACAGAGGGGGCAAGCGUUGUCCGGACUUACUGGGCGUAAAGGGUCCGCAGGUGGCGCGGCAAGUGUGAUGUGAAAGCCCCGCGCUUCACGCGGGGAGGCCAUUACCGACUGCCGGGCUGGAGGGCUGCAGAGGGUCGUGGAAUUGCCGGUGUAGUGGUGAAAUGCGUAGAGAUCGGCAGGAACACCAAGGACGAAGGUAGCGACCUGGGCAGCACCUGACACUGAGGGACGACAGCGUGGGGGAGCGAACCGGAUUAGAUACCCGGGUAGUCCACGCCGUAAACGAUGGAUGCUCGGCGUGUGGCGGCUAUCAACGCCGCUGGGCGCCUCAGCUGACGCGGAAGCAUCCCGCCUGGGAACUACGAGCGCAAGCUUAAAACUCAAAGGAAUUGACGG